RNAcentral lists this long non-coding RNA (20535 nucleotides) under Malus domestica (apple). Lineage: Eukaryota; Viridiplantae; Streptophyta; Magnoliopsida; Rosales; Rosaceae. The record is from RNAcentral.
UCCUCCCUCAUCUUCCCCUGUGCUAUCUCCGGAGAUUUCUCCCUCUUCAAUAUCUGGAGAUGCUCCUGCACCCUCCCCUAACGGUGCCGUUUUGAAUAAGUUCACCUUCUCUGGAUUUCUGGCCGUUGGGGUUUGGGCUGCUUCUGUCUUGGUUAUGUAGAGGACAGUCAGACUAUGAUUAACAAUACAAUGGUUAUGUAGAGGAUAUGUAACAUGUACUCACAAAGAGCACUACUUGACUCCUUAACGGAUCAUUCCUUCCUCCCUGCAAAUUUAACUCCAACAUAUAUUAUAACAUUUCAAAUUUGUUUGGAAUUGCAGCCCAUUGAUUCUAGAAAACACUAUUUGUCCCUGUAUAAAGAUUCAUUUUCCUUGUAUGAUUCCAAUUUCAAUUGGUAUGUUUUUUAUUACAUUACUAAUUCAUUUUCAAUAAUCAUAUGACCAGAAACGUACGAUAAUGAGGGAGGCUUUGAACAAUAAAGUGGAAAACAAAUACAAGACAGUACUUUAAUGUGCUACCACAAUGUUCAACCAAGUGACAAACAAUCUAAUAAUGAAUAUGUAUCAUACUUAGGGCUGCAAGUUAGAAUGGUAUUUUCGAUUCCAACAUAAAAAUUUCUGAAUCUGAAUAUUUCUAAAAAUUUGAAAUGGAAAUUGGAAUACAUUCAAAGAUUUUGAGAAUUCCGAAUUUUCACUUUGAAAUUUUCUGAACUGUUUGAACUUAAUUAUUACGAUAAAAAAUCCGAAUUUUUAAUGUUAUUUACUAAAAUUAUGUAUUUUGUAAAUAUAUUUGUAUUUUAUUGUUAGUUUUAGACACAUUUUAUUCAGGAUAAGCAUACUAGUUGUUCGUCGCAGGAAUCUCCUGGCGGACGAGCACACAGCUCCCCUGGGAGAAUGGCGUCGGUUGAGGGUAUCUGUCGUACUUCUGCUUUCUUCUCGGGCUCGCUCGGGCAAGCCUUUGUCGGGCAGAUCUUGGUCGGGCAAGACACACUUCGGGCAAGGCUCGUCGGACAGUUCUGAAAGAGAAGGACAGAGUUAAUUUGAAAGGGUGCCUUGUGGGGCCUUAGAUGUAGGCCUUAAGGCUCACAAUCAAGAUUAACUUUGUCGUGCUCAGGCGUCCCACUGCCAUCUUCAGUAUGGCAGAUGUUGAAUGGGUGUUAAGCUUUGAUUGAAUAUGUAUACGCCCGAGAAACCAGGUUAGAUAUAACAGUUGCCUUUGUGAGGCCUUAGGUAUAGGCCUUGAGGCUUCCUGUCAAACUAAACCAGCGCUUGGAUGUAUCAUAUUUGGUCUUUUAUGGUUGCCAGAGUCUUAUCACUAUUAUACUUUUGAUUAUCUGAAUCCAAGAGGUAGGACGAACCCAAAUGAGUGCCUUUGUAGGGCCUUAGGUAUAGGCCUUGAGGCUUCCCAUCAGAGUUAAUCCUUAUACUCGGACCAACUAGACCACAACAUGAAAUGAAGCUAAAUAGAUGCCUUCGUGGGGCCUUAGGUGUAGGCCUUGAGGCUUUCUAUCAGAAUUCACUCCCUGCCUAAGCCUUUUCUACGAAUCAAGAUAUAAUAGCAACAAAACGGAGAAAUAGAUUAAUUACUUGCGCCCCAAGUAACUUCGGACUUCUCGCUUAUCAAGGAUUGUCGUAGAUGGGUUGAGUCCACAUAGAGUUCUUUUUUAUGCCUUGAGGUCAAGGACUUUUAAACUGAUCUUUAAAUUACACGCCCGCCGGGCUUAAGACUUAGAUCUGAUUUGAACUCUGACACGAUUCAGAUCGGAUCCAAGUGCUGAAGACUCAUUUUCAUUAUGACUUUGCUAGAAAUAACUUGUAUAUAACUGGGAAUAUAUAACAUGUUAUUGUGUUUUUAAAAGAAAGAAAAGACAAAGACAGAGCAAAGAUAGUCGGGUAAGUUUGAACCUUAUCGGCCAAGGCUGAACUUCUUACAAAAUCUAUCUUUGUGGCUCUGUCAGAGGUCUGAAAGCUUUUAGAGGGGUUGACGGGGGAGAAGAGGAUACAAAAUGAAUCGAUACCACCAUGAACAAGGUAGCAGAGCUAUUACAGGGGUUUGGGAAGGUUUAUCCCGAAUGGGAUGAAGGCUUGUGCUGACUACAGCUUCGUUGAAGGCAAAUCUGGCUUGAGCAGAGUUUUGGCUUUUGUUUGUUUGUUUGAGUGUCCUUAAUUCUGUCUUCUCUUCCUCCUUUUAUAGACGACUUCAGCUUGGGUUCCUGUAGCAAUAGCGGUUGCCCGAAUGCGGUUUGGUGAUGACUCACUAGCUUUUUUACAUGAAUGCCACCAAUAAAGUACUUUAUUGGGCUGUGCAGUGACUGAAUGACCCACCCCCUGUGGUCUUUGAGCAGGUAAGCAGGUGGCCUUUGUAACUUGUGCCCAGCCGAAAGCCUCUUUCCUGCCUCCUAAGUUUUCCUCUGGGCCUUGGGUUUGGGCCGGCUUUCUCUCUGGCCCAAAGUUCAGAUUUUAUCCCAAACACUAGUAUAUCACAAAAUUAAAUGUAUCUGUACACAAGCAUAUAUCAAAUACAUUAAGAAAAAACAAUAAAGUGCAUGUACGAAAAUUCAAGAAUAUUAAAACAUGUAAAAUAUAUGAAUUUUCGACCUAUGUUCUGAUCUGAUCCGAUUUUGAAAUUUGGAAAGAAAAGUAGAAACGUUGUUUCCUAUCCGACCAGUUCUAAAAUCACCCCUAAUCAUAUUUUUACUUGCUAACCAAUCAAAUGGGGAGAAAAUAGGAAAAAAUAAUGGCAAACUUUGUUCUUAUUUCAUUGACAAUAAGACUUGUAACUCAUUGAGACAGACAUGCAGAUUCCGAAGCUAGACAGGUUCAUAUGCCGAAGCUAGACAAACAAAUUCAGAUCAUAUACCGAAUCUAGACAAACAAAUUCAGACGCCAAAGGCAGACAUAGAGAUUCAAAAGUUGAAGACAUACAUACGGCAGACAUAGAGAUUCAAAAGUUGAAGGCAUACAUACAAAAUUAGAUUUCGAAGUCAGAUGCAGACUUCAUAUACAAAGCCAAAUGAAGAUAUCAAAUGAGGAAGCCAAUACUGUUGCACCAUCGUCACUAUGUGAACAUGAUCCCCAUGUUCAUGUACUAAUUGUUUUUGGUAUAGUAAAUACUUCAGUUGGCAGGGUAUAAUAAUGGUAUUGCCAUUUUGAUAUUGGGCUAUUUUAUUUGGUCUCAGAUAUUUUUAUGAUGAGGUUUGGUAAGUCUCAUAUUGCUGAUUAAUUUUAUAAUAAAAGUUCAAUUUUUUUCACUUCUAAUAUCAUCCUUGAAAUUAUUGUCAGCACUAAUUUUUCUUUUGUUGUAUACAUGAUAUUUGAGACUAUAAUUUUGUCUCUGAAACUAUUUAUGAUCUAAUUACAUUGUCAUAAUUUUGACGAGUGUGGACAAGACAUUUAAAAAUACGAAAACGUCUUAUCUAAAAGAUGAUGCACAUCAGCAAUUGUAGAAAAGACAGCAAAGGUCAGAGAAGGUAAUUUGGCUCAAUCACUCCAUACCUUGGAGGGUGCAUUAUCAUUGGUUUAAAUAGUGUACAAUGACUUGAUUUACAAGUAUAAUUAAUAUACAUAUAAUACAUAAAGGGAAUGUUUUAAUAAUACAGGAAAUCGAGAAAUAAUGAUGAAAUAGGAAACAAUCUCAAGAGAUCAAGAAGAUAUCAUCUUUCACGCCCUCGCAAGCUGAGAGUACGAUUGAGUACCAGAAGCUUGGAAACCAAAAAUCUAAAACGAGGAAGAGAAAGACCCUUGGUGAAGAUAUCAACGAUUUGGUUAUGAGUGGAAAGAUAGCUAACAUUAAGCUUCUUGCGAACAACCUUCUCACGAAUAUAAUGGUAAUCCACCUCAACGUGCCGAGUAUGAGCAUGAAGCACCGAGUUGGAAGCAAGGGAGAUGGCACUGAUAUUGUCACAAAACAGAGUGGGGCAAUGGAAAGGUAACUGAAGGUCACGAACCAACAUACGAAACCAGGAAAUGGUGGCAGCGGCAAAGGGCAAGUUGACGAUACUCAGCCUCAAUGUUAGAACGAGAGACCCCAUUUUGCUUCUUUGCACUCCAUGAGACAAGAUUGGAACUCAGAAACAAACAAUAGCCUCCGGUUAAACGCCGAUCAUCGAGAUCCCUAGCAUAAUCGGCAUCGAAAAAGGCCGUAAGACGAAGUGAACUGGGCUUGUAGAUAAUACAGUGAUUAGCAGUGCCAACAAGGUAACGAAGAAUUCAUUUGACGGCAGCGCAAUGAGUGGAAAUCAGCUGGUGAAGAAAUUGGCAUACUUGAUUGACCGCAAAGUUGAUGUCGGGACGAGUGAGAGUCAAGUAUUGGAGGGCACCGACAACACUAUGGUAUUCAGUAGGAUCCGGCAGAGGGUCACCAUCAUGAAUGUUGAGUCGUCGCCCACUGACAGCAGGGGUAAGGAUCGACUGGGCACCAAGCAUUUUGGUGCGAUGAAGGAGGUCAAUGAUAUAUUUGUGUUGGGAAAGAGAGACCAGAUGGAGUAUGGACCACCUCCAUGCCUAAAAAAUAAUGGAUCGGCCCAAGGUCCUUUAUAGAAAACCAUAGACCCAAAUUCUUAAUGAGUGACAAUGUGAGAGGGAUUAUUCCCCGUGACCAAAAUAUCAUCAACAUAAAUUAAUAAAUAAAAUGUGAGUAGCGCCAUGAAUAUAAGUAAAAAGCAAGUGAUCCAUUGUAGAUGAAUGAAAACUCAAAUCUUCCAAAUGAGUGGAAAAACACUGGAACCAGGCACGGGGCGCCUACUUGAGGCCAUAUAAAGAAUGACGGAGGCGGCACACAUGAUUAGGAAACUUUGGAUCGAUAAAGCCAUGAGGUUGGUGCAUAUAGACCUCCUCAGAUAAAGAACCGUGGAGAAUAGCAUUUUAAACAUCCAACUGGCAAAUAGGCCAUUUAAAUUGAACUGAAAGAGCCAAAAUUAACUGAAUAAUAGAGUGAUUUACAACAGGACUAAAAGUUUCACCAUAAUCAUGGCCGGGUUGCUGAUGAAAGCCAUUGACGACCAAACGAGCCUUAUACCACUGAACAGAGCCAUUGAAAUUUUGUUUAAUACGAAACACCCAUUUGUUUGCCAAAUAUUCAUAGAAGCAAUACGAGGAAUAAGAGUCCAAGUACCUGCAUGCUAAAGUGCAUUAAAUUCAUUGGCCAUCAUAGUAUGUCAUUCCGUGAAUUUAUUGGCCUAACUAAAACAUGUAGGCUUAAUGGGUCCAUUAGAAGAUUUAAUUGCAGUAGAAAAAACAUAUUUGUGAGGCUUAUAGGAAGCCAUUUUGGACCUGGUCAGCAUACCAUGAGAAUUAGAAGGAGCUGCAGAUAUGGCAGCAGCAAAUAGGGCCUCUGGAAGCGCAGCAGAUGGGGCUGCAAGGCUAACUGCAGGCAUGGGCGUAUGAGCUACAAGUUGGGUUGCAACUUGUGCAAAAGAGAAAACCCGUCAGUAAGGAUCACGCCAAUAGACCUGCAGGGCCUGCUGUGGUGAGCUGGGUUGAUGAGUCUCCAAAGCAGGAGACACAACCACCGGUUGGCUGCUGGAUUGUCAGGGCACUCGGGAAAGGCCCAAUGAUUUAUAAAGCAGGAAGAGGAGAUGGGGCCUGUGAGGAUUGGGCAAGAGAGCCAGAGAUCUCCUUGAAAGAAAAAAAAACCUUCAUCAAACACAACAUGGUAUGAUAAAAAGAUGUUAUUGGUAGAGAUGUCUAAGCACUGACAACCUUGAUGAUUGAGAUAGUAACCAAGAAAAAUACACUUAGUAGAAUGAAAUUUAAGUUUAUUAUUAUUAUAGGGCCUAAGGUAGGGAAAACGGGCACACCCAAAGGUCUUCAAAAAACUAUAAUUAGGUUGCUUAUGAAACAAUAAAACCAAGUACCUAAUAGGGGAGCCGAUUGAUAAGAUAAACCAUGAUGUGCAUGUCCUCAGCCUAAUAGGCAAGAGGCAUCGACACGUGGGCCAUUAAAGUAAGCCCAGUGUCAACAAUGUGAUGGUGUUUCCGUUCUGCCAAACCAUUUUGCUCGGGAUGGUGAGGGCAUGUUAAGUACAAUUAAUUACUAAGCUUAAUUAGAGAAAUGUAUAUAUAUUGAGUUGUAUUCCUUACACAUUAAGAAAGAAAUAAUACAGACUUCUUUAUUUACAUGGUAUCACCGCCUCUCUGCUUCACCGUCUCCCUAUCCUUCUUUCAUUGCGAUUCCUUCUUCAAUCUUUGCUUCUCCGAUCCUCACUUCUCGGAACUUUGAUCUUUGGCUAUGACGUCUUCAACUUCGUCUCCUGUGCAACCUGAAGUUGUUGCCCCUAAUCCUGCAAUUUCUUCUCCCAAUUUUGCAGCGAUGAACCCUAAUCCUUGAAAUUCUCUGAUCUCGUCGAUUUCUUCCAUAACUGUUCAGAAUAUCAGUUGUAUGAUUCCUACGAACCUCAAGCAUGACAAUUAUCUCAUUUGGAAAGCUAUCUUCGCUCCGAUUUUCCGACAAUACAAACUUACCAGCAUUGUUAAUGGCUCUUAAGUUUGCCUGCCACCUUAUGUUCUUGAUGAAUUUGGUCAAAUUACUAGAAUUUCAAACCCUGCUUUCGAGAUUUGGUAUGAAAAAGAUCAAAAUAUACUAAUAUGGUUAAAUUCAACUCUCUCUAAAGACUUUAUUUCCUUCACCGUUGGUGUCACAUCGUCUCGAGAUUUCUGGUUAAAUCUUGAGCAUCUAUUUAGUGGCAUUUCUUUAGCUCACGUUCAUCAGCUCCAUUCUUGUCUCCAUUAUGUGCAUAAAGGCGAUCUUUCUAUCUCAAAUUAUUUACAGAGAAUUGAAGGCAUUGCUGAUUCAUUAAUGGCUACUGAAGCUCCUAUCUCUAAUGAUUUGAUUACUGUUACUCUAAAUGGAUUACCUGAUGAGUAUAAGUCUUUCAUUAACUCUACCAUGCUCAGGAUCUCUACCACAACACUGGAUGAACUUCAUGGACUGUUGAUAAACAAGGAAGUUUUCAUGAAUCGUAAGAAGAAAUGUGUGGCCUCUUCCACUUCUGAGCUUUUUGAGGCCUUUGUUGUGCAGUCUCAACCCCCUCUCCUUCCUACUACAAUUUUCCUCAAGCUUAUGCUACUCACCAGUCACCCUACAAUGCUCCACCAAAGUUUCACAACAAUAAUCGUGGUCGAGGAUCCUUUCAACGCAAUAAUUGUGGUAAUUUUCAUAAGAACUUCAAUAAUUCUUGUGGUAAUUUUCACAAUUAUAGUGGAACUCAUGGCUUGCAAUAAUUUUGGGGGAAAUCAUAACAAUUCUGGUGGAAGAACUCCCUAGCAAAUUUGUAACUCUUUUGAUCAUGAAGCUAUUGAUUGUUAUGAGCGAAUGAAUCAUGCUUUUGCUAGAAAAAUUCCUCCUGCAAAGUUAGCUUCUGUGUGUGCUCACACCAGUUCUAAGCAAUCUUCUCCCACUUGUUUGAUGGACUCGGGUGACACAUCCCAUAUUACUAAUGACAUAUCUGCCAUUCAAUCUCCACAUUCAUACUCUGGCGAAGAAAGUGUGUAUGUUUGUGAUGGACAAGGUAUGGCUAUCCAUCACACUAGUAAUUCUACAAUUUUAACACCACAUGCUUCUUUCAUAUUAAGUAAUAUUAUUCAUGUUCCACAGAUGAAAUUCAAUUUACUCUCUGCCUAUCAAUUCUUGAAAGAUAACUAUUAUUCUUUGACCCUUGAUUCUGAUGGUUCUAAAAUCAAGGAUUGUUCUUCGGGGAUGACGUUUUUUUAAGGGCCAGUUAGAAAAGGAUUUUAUCCCUUUCAAGGUCUUUCCAAUGUCUUUUCUUCACAUUCUACUCUUAUCAGCACUAAAGCAUCGUUGAAGACAUGGCAUAAAAGGCUCGGUUAUCCUUCAUCUGCUAUGUUUAAGACAAUAUUAAAUAAGCAUAGUCUUGAUCACAGUGGUGACAAGCUUGUAUCUUUCUUUUGCACAAAUUGUGCCAUAGGUAUAAAUCAUAAGUUGAUACAUUGUGAUGUUUAGGGUCCAUCUCCAGUCACUUUUAUUAGUGGUUACAAGUUCUACUUGCUAAUUGUGGAUGAGUUUACUAAAUACACCUAGUUGUUUCCUAUGGAAGCUAAGUCUGAGGUUUUCUCUAUGUUUGUAUCAUUCAAAGCUUAUGUAGAAAACAUGAUUGGAAAUAAAAUAAAAGUCUUGAGAUCAGAUUCAAAGGGUGAGUUCACUAGUUCUGUGUUAAAUUCUUUUCUCUCAAGUAAUGGAAUCUCUCAUCAAUAUAAUUGUCAUCACACUCCAAAAAAAAAUAUAUGUGUUGAAAGGAAGCACAGACAUCUUAUAGAGAUUGCAAGGACUUUUUUGGUUUCUUCUCGGGAUCCUCACAAGUUCUGGGUUGAAGCCUUUUCAACUGCUCUUUAUCUCAUCAACAGAUUGCCAAUUUCUAAACUAGACAAAUCUCCUUGGGAACUUCUAUUUAGGAAACCUCCAGAUUAUUCCAAAUUAAAGGUGUUUGGAUGCAGCUGCUACCCUUAGCUUAAACCACAUAUUUCAUCAAAACUGGAUGGUAAAAGCAAGCAUUGUGUCUUUCUUGGUUAUAGCCUUCAACACAAAGGAUAUCGUUGUUUAGAUCUUCAAUCUCAAAGAUUGUAUAUUUCAAGGCAUGUUCUGUUCAAUGAAGUUCAUUUUCCUUUUCACUAUGAACACUAUGAACAGAAGCUUCACUUCUCAUCACUGCCAUAUUACACAGUGUCUGCAUCUACUCUAGCAUUUACUCUUCGAUUUCCAACCUCUCAUAGUACUCCAGUAGCAUCUCUAUCCCCUACAACAUCUCAGCAAUCAUCAUCUCAACAAGUACCAUCUCAGUCAUCAUUUUCACAACUCAGUCACUCAUUACCUUUACAGUUAAGACUCUCAUCUCAUAUUCAACCAUCUAUUCCUGCUAAUUCUCAUCUUAUGAUUAAAAGGUCCAAAGCAGGUAUCUUUAAACCAAAAGCUCUCUCUGCAACAAAACAUCCCAUUAAUAUUGAUACUUUCGUGCCUACCACUUAUCUGCAAGCAUCCAAGCAUGCUCAUUGGAAUCAAGCAAUGUUAGAAGAAUUUCAGGCUCUAAAAAACACAAGUACUUGGACCUUAGUACCAUCCUUUACACAUCAAAACAUUGUAGGUUGUAAAUGGGCGUUUCGGAUUAAACGAAAACCCGAUGGUACAGUUUACAGAUACAAGGAUCACCUUGUGGCAAAAAGGUUUCACCAGCAAGAUCAUUGAUUUUAAGAAAACCUUCAGUCCUAUUGCUAAACCAGUGACCAUUCACAUCUUAUUAACUCUUGCUGUCCAAAAUGAUUGGUUCUUAAAUCAAUUGGAUAUUAGCAAUGCGUUUCUUCAUAUAUCACUAAAAGAAAAGGUGUUUAUGCAACAACCUCCUGGUUUUGUUGACGUUUCUCAGCCUUUAUUUGUUUGCGAGCUUGAUCGGUCUCUUUAUAGCUUAAAGCAAGCCCAUCGAGCUUGGUAUGAUAAACUUGGUCAUAUUUUACUCUCUCUUGGUUUUGCUAAUUCGCAAUCAGAUUGCUCCUUAUUUGUGCAUACAUCUCCUUCCCUUGUGAUAGUAUUAGUGUAUGUUGAUACAUCCUAGUCACCGGUCCAAAUGCCUCUCAUUGUCAAGCUUUAUUCACAAUCUCAGUUAUUUGUUUCCUGUCAAAGAUCUAAAGCCUCUUCACUAUUUCCUUGGUUUUGAAGUACAUCGAUCCUCUAAAGGUAUCAAGCAAAUAUGCCAUGGAUCCUCUAGUUAAGACAAAAAUGGAAGGAUGUAAACCUUGUGCCACUCGUCUUGUCACUGCUAAAUUGGAUCACAUUGGAGCUUUGUUGUCUGAUCUAAAUGAGUACACGUCCAUCGUUGGUGUUCUUCAAUACUUAACAUGGACAAUGCCAGAUCUUUCCCUUACUGUGAACCAAGUUUGUCAAUUUCUUCACUGUCCUCGAGAUACAUAAUUUCAGGCAGUUAAACUUAUUCUCCGGUUUCUCAAAUGUUCAGUUGAUUAAUGACUCCGGUUUAAAAAUGGUUUUAUGCAACUUACAGCCUUUUUGGAUGCUGAUUGGGCUGGAUGUGUUAUUGAUAGAAGAUCUACCUCUGGUUAUUGUGUUUACUUGGGACCAAUCUUAUAAGUUGGAGUGCUAAAAAGCAGCCCAUUAUUCCAAGGUCUUCAACCGAAGCUAAGUAUCGAUCUCUUGCUUUCACUGUUGCAAAAAUCACAUGGAUCUGUAAGAUUUUCAAAGACAUCACUUUUCCUCUUCCUCAUACUCCUACAUUAUGGUGUGACAAUGUUUCUACCAUCAAUUUGGCUUCAAAUCAUGUGUUCCAUGCGAGUACCAAGCAUGUCGAGGUUGAUUAUCACUAUAUCUGGGAACUUGUUCUUGCAGAUUUAGUCAAAGUUUUGUAUGUUAACAUUGAAAACCAAAUUGCAGAUAUUCAUACAAAGUCGUUGUCCAAGGCAUGGUUCAAGUAUCUUCAAUCCAAGCUUUCUCUGGGUUCUCCUCCAUUUAGCUUAAGGGAGUGUAAAAGGAUAACUCAUAGCUAACAGCUUGUAUAGUUGUCUUUUACAAUUGUAACAGUUUUGUAACUAAUCUAUGUGUUUGAGAUUUAAUUAAGUACAAUUAGUUACUAAGCUUAAUUAGAGAAAUGUAUAUAUACUGAGUUGUACUCCUUACACAUUAAGAAGGAAAUAAUACAUACUUCUUUCUUUACAGUUCAAGUUAUUGGCAAUGUGCGUGGUGGCUCAUCCACGCUGGACUUAGUUGCUGAUGAUAUCAAAAUUAGGCUACAAGGCUUCAUUAUAUCUCAAAUAUGUCAUUGGUAGAUCCACCAAUAUGUGGCGCAUAGAUUGGCCAAAGUUGGCCUUAUGUUCAUAUGUUGACUCUUGUUAGUGUGAUGAGCCUUUUGAUGUAUUCCAGAAUGCACUCCUUGAAGGUUGUAUGUUUCCAUUUACAUGUCCAAACAACAUGCACAAAGAACACUAAAAUUGUUAUAAAAAUAAAAAUAAAAAUAAAAAUAAAAAAAGCAUACUAUUAAACCCAAAUAAAAAUUUCCAACUAGAACAAUUUUUAGUCUUAGGUCACUAACUAAUAACUAUAGUUGGUUUUCUUGGAGUCGUCCUAAUCCAUUAUAUCGUCUUCAAUAUCAAAAUAGUCUGCCAAAGUAGCAUAGUCAUACUUUCUCUUGUUCAGCUUCUGAGAAAGAAGUGAAUGGAUAUACAGACUUCUUAAACACUUUGGUAGUCAAACUAUCAUCCGGUUUUCCACUUCUGCCAGCUCUGCUCAGAAGCACUUCUGGUAGGUCCUGAGACUUUCAUCUUUAGACUGAGGGACCAUCUACGCAAACGUCAAAGUACACUGAGUAGGUGUUUUUGAAUAUCUCAGCCAAAGUUUCAAAAUAGUCGAUGGAUCUGGAUGGCACCUCCGAAUGCUAUCACAUCGCUGGUCCCCUUAAAGUAGAUGAUAACAUUUUGCACAUAUAAGUAUCGUUGUUGUUGCAUAGCGCCAUGGCAUUCCGGUAAUGCAUGAUGUGGUAGUCGAGGUUAGAAUCGACGCGAAAUGAUUUGAACCUUGAUUGAGAAAACUUUUCCGCUAUGGGUAUUUCUUUGAUUAUCAUUGAAAGUGGUGUUCUAACCCGGACUGUUGCCUUGCCUGGGGUUUGAGGUUGGCUAUCCAUGACUAGGCUCGCAUAAUUUUCUCUAUCCAGGAUGUGUCAUCGUUCUUAAUCUCCAGAAAAUUCAGGCUCGUCAAACCUCAGACGAAGAGGUUUUGCCCUUCGUGCUAUUGUUGUACCUUGAAGAGGAUUAUGUAGAUUUUUUUGUUAUUCUCCAGUAACCAUGUUUGUGACCUACUCAUUUCUUAUUGGGCCUCUUCUUGGAUUGAUGGCAAUCGCUGGCGCUGAAACAGCAUGAAACAUUAUGGGGUCCUCUUCAAGGGUAUGGUACUUAUGUUUCCAUAUUCGUAAACAGGGAUCUGGGUUGAAUGGGUCAUCCCACUUAAAUUCUUUAGGUUUUUCCUUCGCUUCUCCAUGUCUACGAAGUUGGAAUGGCUUUCUGCUUGAACAGCACAUACAAUCUGGCUCUUUUGCAACUUCUCGACAUAAACGUUGAUCUUCGUCAAGGUUUCUCAAAUUUGAUCCAUGGAAGGAGAUGGUCUGUUGACUGGGUCUUCAUCAUUUUCGAGCGUGGCCGUCACUCUUUAUGGGCUGUUACUUGCCUCUGGAGUUGGUUCUUAGGCAACGGGCGAUUCACUCCUGAAAUAACGGACCCAUCAAAAGGUAGGUUAUCUCCACCGAUGGGGUUAACGUUGGCAUUGACCAAGCUUUCCUCAGCAUACAUGUCAAUCAGCAGAGUGAUCUGGUUGGAGGAAUAAAAGUUCGCUCUCAAUGAAAGUACCAAUUGUUAUAACCAAACUUGCGUACCUCCAUGAACGAUGUUUGAGCACAAAUUCGAGCAACUUGCAAAACAGUAAACAAACUUUAGCAAGCCUAGGACUAGAGAGGUGUGUCGACCAAAGGCUUUCCGACUGCCAAGUUAGGGAGUGAUUAGACUCUAGUAGUGGUCAAGAGAAUUGAAGUGUUUUGAUUGCGUUACCCGAGAUGAACCCUAGAUGAGUGUAUUUAUAACGUGGAGAGAUAGACCUUUUUAGGAUGGAAUCCUAGCUCUAAGCCCAUAGAAUCCUAAAGGAUAUUGAAAGGUAGAUAUUGCUUCUUCUUAGGAGUUAUGAUUACUUGCAGCACACACCAUUUCCUAGAUUUUAGAAAUUCCAAGACUUAUAGGACCUAAUUGUGUCCGUAUCUGAAUCAAAUCGCGUCUUACGAAACAAGUAUGGUCAUCUGGCGAAGUAGCUAGGACUCUGCCUUAUGCCCUAGAGUGGAAUGAUGGUGGCACCGCUACACCAUCUGAUACAGCUCCGCCCAAAACUAGUGAGUCUAUGACCGAACUUUUGAGGUAACUGUAUUCAGAUCAGUCUUACUCCACUCCUGGAAAAUCAUGGUCCCACAAUAACUUCUCAUGUUUCUCCUUAGUCAAUGAGUUUUUAUCCCACAUUGGGUUUUACCAUAGCAAGAUUUUGUGAGUUUUACCUUUUUAUGCAUUCUUCUGUUGAUUUGAGACUCACAUUUGCUUAUUGUGCCGACGACUUCAUCAACCGAACUUACUUCAUCACCAAAGACCUAAUGCACCAUUUACUUGAGUAUUUACACUCUAAGGGAGGAGUGUUGCGGUCCUAAUUAGGUUAGGAAUGUGAUUGUGUAAAUCAAAGGGGAUUCUAUAGUAUCUUUUAGUUAGUAUUUAAGUUGUAAUACCUAAAGGGUAAGGGAUUUAUCUUCCCUACUACUAUAAAUAAAGGCACAAUGAGGUGAGAAAUCACACCUCAUAAUUCACACAAUUCUCUCCAUGCUUUGCCGCACCCUCUCUCUUAGUCUCUCUAUACUUCUUUAAUCAAAUAGGCCUACAACGUAUUCUUCAUUGUGCGUGAAUUUCUCUCUCUCUCUCUCUCUCUAUAUAUAUAUAUAUAUAUAUAUGCAUAUGCAUAUUACAUACCUAUGUAUGUACUAUAGGUAUGAGCUGAGACAUUUUGUACCAAAACCUAUGUACUGAUACAUUCACACUGAAAUUUAUGUACCUAUACAUCGUACCGAAACUUAUGUACUGAUGCAAUCGUAUCAAAACUUAUGUACCAAUACUUCCAUACCUACAAGUUUUUAUUUUUAAAUACAUUGUUUUUGUAUUGCUGUUGAAUUUUUUUUAUUAAGAAAUUGAAUUUGAAUAAUGCUUUAUCUAUUAAUAUGAUUGAAGCCCAAAAAAUACACAUUAAUGAUGGAUGGGUAAAGAAUUUUGGAUGGUAAGUUUAUAAAUAAUAAAUAUGCCACAAAUAAUUAAAUAUGGUAAGUUUUUUUUUUUUUUUUUUUUGUCAAAAAAUAGAUUUUGUUAGAUUAGAUGUUAGAUUAGUCACCGACGAGAUUUGAACUCAUGUCAUCAUGCAAGGGCUCAACUUCUUUCCAUCACUGUGGUAAAUGGCCACUUGCAAAUAUGAUAAGUUUUAAUAAUAUGGAAUUAAAUUAGAUUUAUAAAACCUUCUAGGUUAAAAUCUAAAAAGAAUCUUAUUUAAGUCCUAAAGCCUAAAAACCCUUAAAAUAUAUGAUUCUUUCUACUAGUCUUCCAAUCCUUUGAAGGGGUAGCUUAGUUGUAAUGUACAAGCCUUUCUGUACGCGCUCAUGCGCGUGCGAAAGGUUUUUUUUACAUCACGGCGAGCUACGCGUGGCAUGUGGAGUUAUUUUUUCAUUUUACAUUUGUUCACACAUAAAGACAUUCUUAUAGUUACCAUGCACUAAGCGCAAUGUGCAAUGUUUAAUUUUAAUAUUUGUACUUGUCAAGAGACAUUCUUUCAUUUUAAUUUUUUUAGCUAAAAGUUUGUAUGGACUUUUGCACCGUUAGAUUUAAAUUAAGAACCUGCAAGCCUCUCACCUUGAAACGAGAAAAGCACAUAAAUGAAAUGAAGCUAAACAUGAUGAUCCUGAUCAAUCUCUCAUAUUACAAAUGCCACAAAAAAUGAAACUUUAUGUGAUUGCAAAAAAAUUUCAAACAUUCAAUUACCCGAAAAACAGAUUAUACAAAUUAAAAAAUUUCAAACAUUCAAUUACCCAGAAAACAACAAUGAAAAUCUUAUUAAAUUAAUUAAAAUAAACUCAUUAGCCAAGUUAAAAAAUUUCAAACAUUCAAUUACCCAGAAAACAACAAUGAAAAUUUUAUUAAAUUAAUUAAAAUAAACUCUUUAGCAAAAGGAACAUAAAAAUGCAAAAUUCUACUAAAUUAAUUAAAAUAAACUAAUUAAUGUGCAGGAGGAACAUAAACAACCUUUUGAAUUAAUCUAAAGAGAUACAAACUAAAAAUAUUAAGAUUGACAGGAGGAAAUGAUUGAAAUUGAUAAUUGAGAAUAAAAGAUUAAGAUUGAGAGUUGAGAAGUUGUACCGAGGAAGACUCUUUGUUGAUUUGGCUCUCUGUUUCAUCCUCUGCCUCGCCCUCAUUCUCUUCUCCUUGAUUUCUGCAAUGAACGGAGAAACAAUUUGCUAUAAAAUAUAUUUGUGUAAUCAAAUAAUAUGUAGCCAACCUGGUUGAGAAGACAUUUGGAAUUUCGUAAGAUGGAGACUCUGUGCAUGUUCUUCCUUUCUGAUUCUUGAAUUUAAAUGAGAUUUGUAUAAGUAUAUAUUGGCAAUUCAUCUUGAUAGAAACUACAUUUUGAUGAAUGUGGGUGCAAUUUUUCAAUUUUCACAUUCUAUUUUUUAUUUGAGGGUUUUAGCAUGUCUCUUUUUUAUUUGUUUUUCUUUUCAUUUUUUUUUCCAAUAAAACGAUUUUUUACAAAAUCAUCAUGUGUUUUGUUUUGAGCCAGAAUGGUUAUUCAAUAUUUUGGCGGCUGAUGUAAACGUUUCCGUUCGUAUUUAAUGAAAUUUCUAUUGUUGAAAAAAAAUAUAUAUGUUCAGUAUUUAAUGACUAUGGUUUAAAAAUGGUUCUAUGCAACUUACAGCCUUCUUGGAUGCUGAUUGGGCUAGAUGUGUUAUUGAUAGAAGAUCUACCUCUGGUUAUUGUGUUUACUUGCAACCCAAUCUUAUAAGUUGGAAUGCUAAAAAAUAGCCCACUGUUGCAAGGUCUUCAACCGAAGCUGAGUAUCGAUCUCUUGCUCUCACUACUGCAGAAAUCACAUGGAUCUGUAAGAUUUUCAAAGACAUCAUUUUUCCUCUUCCUCAUACUCCUACAUUAUGUUGUGACAAUGUUUCUGCCAUAUAUUUGGCUUUAAAUCCUGUGUUCCAUGAGCGUACCAAGCAUGUCGAGGUUGAUUAUCACUAUAUAUGGGAGCUUAUUCUUGCAGAUUUAGUCAAAGUUUUGUAUGUUAACAUUGAAAACCAGAUUGCAGAUAUUCAUACAAAGUCGAUGUCCAAGGCAUGGUUCAAGUAUCUUCAAUCCAAGCUUUCUCUAGGUUCUCCUCUGAUUAGCUUGAGGAAGUGUAAAGGGAUAACUCAUAGCUAACAGCUUGUACAGCUGUCUUUUACAGUUGUAACAGUUUUGUAACUAAUUACUGUGUUAGAGAUUUAAUUAAGUACAAUUAGUUACUAAGCUUAAUUAGAGAAAUGUAUAUAUACUAAGUUGUAUUCCUUACACAUUAACAAAGAAAUAAUACAAACUUCUUUCUUUACAGUUCAAGCUAUUGGCAACGUGCGUGGUGGCUCAUCCACGCUAGACUUAGUUGCUGAUUAUAUCUCAAAUAUGUCAUUGGUAGAUCCACCAAUAUGUGGCGCAUAGAUUGGCCAAAUUUGGCCUUAUGUUCAUAUUUUGACUCUUGUUAGUGUGAGAAGCCUCCAGAUAUAUUCUAGGAUACACUCCUUGAAGGUUGUAUGUUUCCAUUUACAUGUCCAAACAACAAGCACAAAGAAUACUAAAAUUUUAAAAAUAAAAAAAUAUAAAAUAUAAAAAUAAAAAAGGCAUACUAUUAAACCUAAAUAAAAAUUGCCAACUAGAACAAUUUUUAGUCUUAGGUCACUAACUAAUAACUAUAGUCGAUUUUCUUGGAGUAAUCUGGUUUGGUUGUUGUUCUCCUGCUCUUGUCGUCCCAAUCCAUUAGAUCGUCUUCAAUAUCAAAAUAGUCCGCCAAAGUAGCAUAGUCAUACUUUCUCUUGUUCAGCUUCUGAGAAAAAGGUGAAUGGACAUACAGACCUCUUAAACACCUUGGUAGCCAAACUAUCAUCCGAUUUUUCCACUUCUGCUAGCUCUACUCGGAAACACUUCAGGUAAGUUCUAAGACUUUUAGAUUUAGACUGAAUGACCAUUUACGCAAAUGUCACGAUACACUAAGUAGGUGUUUGUGAAUAUCUCAGCCAAAGUUUCAAAACAGUCGAUGGAUAUGGCUGGCACCUUCGAAUACUAUCUCAUCGCUGGUCCCCCUAGAGUAGGUGAGAACAUUUUGCACAUAUAAGCAUUGUUGUUGCUGUAUAACGUCAUGGCAUUCCGAUAAUGCAUGAUGUGGUAGUCAAGGUUAGAAUAGAUGCAAAAUGAUUUGAACCUCAAUUGAGAAAACUUCUCCGGUAUGGGUAUUUCUUCGAUUACCAUUGAAAGUGAUGUUCUAACCUGGAUCAUCGCCCUACCUAGGGGUGCAAGGUUGGCUGCCUAUGACUAAGCUCACAUGAUUUUCUCUAUCUAUGAGGUGUCAUCGUUCUUAAUCUCCAGAAAAUUCAGGCUUGUUAAACCUCAAACGAUAAGGUUUCGCCUUCAGUGCUGUUGUUGUACCUUGAGGAGGAUUACGUAGAUUUUUUGGUUAUUCUCCAAUAACCACAUUUGUGACCUACUCACUUCUUAUUGGGCCCUUUCUUGGAUUGAUGGCAAUCGCUAGUGCCAGAACAACAUGAAACAGUAUGGGGUCCCCUUCAAGGGUAUGGUACUUAUGUUUUCAUAUCCAUAAAUAGAGAUCUGGGUUGAAGGGGUCAUCCCAUUCAAAUUCUUUAGGUUAUUCCUUCGCUUUUCUAUGUUUACGAAGUUGGAGCAGCUUUCUACUUGAGCGGUACAUACAAUCUGGCUCUUUUGCAACUUCUUGACAUAAAUGUUUAUCUUCGUCAGGGUUUCUCAAAUUUGAUCCAUGGAGGGAGGUGGUCUAUUGACUGGGUCUCCAUCAUUUUCGAGGGUGGCCAUCACUCCUUAUGGGCUGUUACUUACCUCUGGAGUUAGUUCUGAGGCAGCGAGCUAUUCGCUCCUGAAAUAACGAACACAUCAAAAAGCAGGUUAUCUACACCUGUGGGGUUAACGUUGGCGUUAACCGAGCUUUCCUUGGCAUACAUGUCAAUCGGCAAAGUGAUCUAGUUCAGAGGAAUAAGAGUUUGUUCUCAAUGAAAGUACCAAUUGUUAGAACCAAAUUUGCGCACCUUCAUGAACGGUAGUUGAGCACAAAUUCGAGCAACUUGCAAAAUGGUAAACAAAUGUUAGCAAGCCUAGGACCGGAUGGUGUGUCGACCAAAGGCUCUCCGCCUGUCAAGUUAGUGAGUGAUUAGACUCUAGCAGUGGUCAAAAGAAUUGAAGUAUUUAGAUUGUGUUACCAUAGAUGAACCCUAAAUGAAUGUAUUUAUAACAUGGGGAGACAUACCUUUUUAGGAUGGAAUCUUAGCUCUAAGCCUAGAGAAUCCUAGAGGAUAUCAAGAGGUAGAUAUUGCAUCUUCUUAGGAGUUAUGAUUACUUGCAGUACACGCCAUUUCCUAGAUUGUAGGAAUUCCAAGACUUAAAAGACUUGAUUGUGUCUAUAUCCGAAUCAAAUCGCAUGUCUUACGAAACAAGCAUGGUCAUCUAGCGGAGUAGCUAGGACUCUGCCUUAUGCCCUAGAAUGGAGUGAUGGUGGCACUGCUACUCCAUCUGAUACAGCUCUGCUCAAAGCUAGUGAGUCUAUGACUGAACUUUUGAGGUAACUGUAUUCAGAUUAGUCUUGCUCUGCUCCCAGAAAAUCAUGGUCCCACAACAACUUCUCAUGUUUCUCCUUAGUCAAUGGGUUUUUAUCCCACAUUGGGUUUCACCAUAGCAAGAUUUUGUGAGUUUUACCUUUUUAUGCAUUUUUCUUUUUAUUUGAGACUGACAUUUUGCUUAUUGUGCCGACAACUUCAUCAACCGAACUUAUUUCAUCACCAAAAACCUAAUGCGCCAUUUACAAUGAAGUGACAAAUCACACCUUAGAAUUCACACAAUUCUCUCUAUGCUUUGCCACACCCUCUCUCUUAGUCUCUCUAUACUUCUUUAAUCAAAUAGGCCUACAACAUAUUCUUCAUUGUGCGUGAAUUUCUCUAUAUAUAUGCAUAUGCAUAUUACAUACCUAUGUAUGUACUAUAGGUAUGAGCCGAGACAUUUUAUACCAAAACUUAUGUACUAAUACAUUCGCACCGAAAUUUAUGUACCUAUACAUCAUACCGAAACUUAUGUACUGAUGUAAUCGUAUCAAAACUUACGUACCAAUACUUUCGUACCUAUGAGUUUUUUAUUUUUAUUUUUAAAUACAUUGUUUUUGUAUUGUUGUUGAAUUUUUUUAUUAAGAAAUUGAAUUUGAAUAAUGAUUUAUCUAUUAAUAUGAUUGAAGCACAAAAAAUACACAUUAAUGAUGGAUGGGUAAACAAUUUCGGAUGGCAAGUUUAUAAAUAAUAAAUAUGUAACAUCCCACGUCGUCCAGGGGAGUGGAUCCUAUAAGCCUUAUAUGUAUAUUCCUAUCUCUACCUAGCACGAGGCUUUUUGGGAACUCACUGGCUUCGGGUUCCAUUGGAACUCCGAAGUUAACCGAGUUUGCGCGAGAGCAAUCCUAGGAUGGGUGACCUACUGGGAAGUUCUCAUGUGAGUUCCCAUAAACAAAACCAUGAGGGCGUGGUCGGGGCCCAAAGCCGACAAUAUCGUGCUACAACGGAGUUGAGCCCGAGAUGUGACAAAAUAUGCUACAAAUACUUAAAUAUGGUAAGUUUUUCUUUUUGUCAAAAACAUAGAUUUUGUUAGAUUAGCCACCGACGAGGUUGAACUCACGUCAUCAUGCAAGGGCUCAACUUUUUUCCAUCACUGUGGUAAAAGACCACUUGCAAAUAUGGUAAGUUUUAAUAAUAUGGAAUUAAAUUAGAUUUAUAAACCUUCCAGGUUAAAAUCUAAAAAGAAUCUUAUUUAAGUCCUAAAGCCUAAAAACCCUUAAAAUAUAUGAUUCUUUCUACUAGUCUUCCAGUCCUUUGAUAAGGUAGCUUAGUUGUAAUGUACAAGCCUUUCUGUACGCACUCACACACGUGCGAAAGACUUUUUCUACAUCAUGGCGAGCUACGCGCGGCGUGUGGAGUUAUUUUUUUCAUUUUACAUUUGUUCACGCAUAAAGACAUUCUUAUAGUUACCAUGCACUAAGCAUGAUGUGCAAUGUUCAAUUUUAAUAUUUGUACUUGUCAAGAGACAUUUUUCAUUUUAAUUUUUUUAGCUAAAAGUUUGUAUGGACUUAUGCACCGUUAGAUUUAAAUUAAGAUAUCGCAAGCCUCUCACCUUGAAAAGAGAAAAGCACAUAAACGAAAUGAAGGUAAACAUGAUGAUCAUGAUCAAUCUCUCAUAUUACAAAUGCCACAAAAUAUGAAACUUUAUGUCCAAAUGAUAGCAAAAAAAUUUCAAACAUUCAAUUACCUAAAAAACUAAUUAUACAAAUUAAAAAAUUUCAAACAUUCAAUUACCCAGAAAACAACAAUGAAAAUUUUAUUAAAUUAAUUAAAAUAAAUUCAUUAGCAAAAUCAAAAAUUUUCAAACAUUCAAUUACCUAGAAAACAACAAUGAAAAUUUUAUUAAAUUAAUUAAAAUAAACUCAUUAGUAAAAGGAACAUAAAAAUGAAAAUUUCUUCUAAAUUAAUUAAAAUAAACUAAUUAAUGUGCAGGAGGAACAUAAACAACCUUUUGAAUUAAUCUAAAGAGAUACAAACUAAAAAUAUUAAGAUUGACAGGAGGAAAUGAUUGAAAUUGAUAAUUGAGAAUAAAAGAUUAAGAUUGAGAGUUGAGAAGUUGUACCAAGGAAGACUCUUUGUUGAUUUGGCUCUCUUUUUCAUCCUCCGCC